This 909-nucleotide long non-coding RNA is filed under the name Homo sapiens (human). RNAcentral describes it as "HSALNT0290562". The record is from RNAcentral. Lineage: Eukaryota; Metazoa; Chordata; Mammalia; Primates; Hominidae.
CCAUUCUUUCAUCUGCGGACACAGAUUGAUGCCGUCUCUCAGCUGUUGUGAACAGUGCUCAUGAACAUGGGGUGCAGCUGUCUCUUUGAUACAUCGAUUUCAUAUCCUUUGGAUAUAUACCCAGCAGUGGGAUUGCUGGAUCUUAUGGUAGUUCUAAUUGUGGCUUUUUGAGGAGUAAUUAUCCUUUAAGUAUCAGAUCCUGGUGACCUGAGAUCCCCAAGGAUAGAACAAAAAACUGUUUUCCUUGUAGCCCUGGUAUUGAAGUAGAUAUAACCUUGAGGAUUUUUCUCUCGGCAGCCUCACGGUUCGUUAUAUCUUUGACCUUUUGAGGACAUGCACUUUAGGGAAACCGAGGCAGGUAUCAACUCAUUUCUGUCCCCAGCCCCAUCUCCUGGUCCUGGGCUUAUCCCUACCUGUUCACAAUACCUUCCCAAUGAUCCUGGGCGGGGACCACAUGACUGUCAUGUCUGAAGAUGCCCCAGUGCCCGACUAGUACCCUGUGGACAGCAGGUCUGCGCCGUCUGGUUGUUGAAAGAGCCCCUCCCAAGCCUCACCCCCGGAGCUGCUCAAGGUCCAGCCCUGGGGACAUUGUCUCACUCGCUCCCCCAAGAGGGGCCACAGAGGUGCUUUUGCAGAAUUCCCAGGCUCCCUGGAGAACAACAUAGAAACCACUGAUCCGAAACAACAGACGCCUUUUGCAGAGCCGCUGGAAUGUCACAUCAGAGCCGCUGGAAUGUCACAUCAGAGCCGCUGGAAUGUCACAUUGGAGCUGCUGGAAUGUCACAUCAGAGCUGCUGGAAUGUCACAUCAGAGCCGGAGUUACACAUAUGGAGAGGGAGAAAACGCAAAGGAGCCCCGUGCUGUUGGACUGGAAUUUGAAAUAUCAGUGUGAACUCAGGGUUUUCUUUU